GGGGGGAGGCCGGAUCCUGGGCUGUGUCCCGGCGCCCUGUGCUCCGGAGCCUGCGCUGUUGGAUUCGCACUCCCGGGCCGCGCAACCCCCU
Canis lupus familiaris (dog) is the source of this 91-nucleotide non-coding RNA. Lineage: Eukaryota; Metazoa; Chordata; Mammalia; Carnivora; Canidae. The record is from Rfam.